UGUCGUUGAGUUCUGACUGCAGGGA
This 25-nucleotide non-coding RNA is filed under the name Cricetulus griseus (Chinese hamster). The record is from RNAcentral. Lineage: Eukaryota; Metazoa; Chordata; Mammalia; Rodentia; Cricetidae.